GCGCCUGUAGCUCAAACUGGAUAGAGCAGGGGCGUCCUAAGCCCUGUGUUGGAGGUUCGACUCCUCCCAGGCGCA
Molecule: transfer RNA, 75 nt
Filed under: Candidatus Omnitrophota bacterium
Lineage: Bacteria; Pseudomonadati; Candidatus Omnitrophota
Description: Candidatus Omnitrophica bacterium (groundwater metagenome) tRNA-Arg
Rfam family: tRNA
About the family: Transfer RNA (tRNA) molecules are approximately 80 nucleotides in length. Their secondary structure includes four short double-helical elements and three loops (D, anti-codon, and T loops).
Source: RNAcentral